GGUUGCUUUUGGGUAACAGCUUACUCUAAUGCCUCAAAGAGAAAAAACGUAAAACCACAGAUUUAAAAGAUUUUUGUCUCUAUACGAAUUCUUAAGCACACUUUUUUAACGCCGCUUUGAGAAGAGAUAAAUUUCCCUUAAUUUUGUGUGGUAUAUUGCUGUGAUAUUAUGACUGAAACAUAUCAUUUGUCAAUUGCAUUAUUUUUUUACAUAUUUUUUUUUAUAGAACUGUACAAUAUUAAAUGGUUUUUUCAAGUUUGCAAUUCAAUUAGGAUCUAUGUCUGCAUAAAGAAUAUCGAAUAGCAAGC
Molecule: long non-coding RNA, 308 nt
Filed under: Mytilus galloprovincialis (Mediterranean mussel)
Lineage: Eukaryota; Metazoa; Mollusca; Bivalvia; Mytilida; Mytilidae
Source: RNAcentral